This 449-nucleotide ribosomal RNA is filed under the name uncultured bacterium. RNAcentral describes it as "bacterial SSU rRNA". It matches the Rfam family "Bacterial small subunit ribosomal RNA", at positions 355 to 825 of the family's 1533-position model. The record is from RNAcentral.
UAGGGAAUAUUGCGCAAUGGGGGAAACCCUGACGCAGCGACGCCGCGUGAGUGAUGAAGGACUUCGGUUCGUAAAGCUCUGUUGCAAGGGAAAAAGUUCUGAUUGUACCUUGUGAGGAAGGGUCGGCUAACUUCGUGCCAGCAGCCGCGGUAAGACGAGGGACCCUAGCGUUGUUCGGAAUCAUUGGGCGUAAAGCGGGUGCAGGUGGCUUUGUAAGUCAGGUGUGAAAGCCCAGGGCUCAACCCUGGAAGUGCAUUUGAUACUGCGAAGCUUGAGUGCUGGAGAGGUUACUAGAAUUCCAGGUGUAGUGGUGAAAUACGUAGAUAUCUGGAGGAAUACCGGAGGCGAAGGCGGGUAACUGGCCAGACACUGACACUCAGACCCGAAAGCGUGGGGAUCAAACAGGAUUAGAUACCCGAGUAGUCCCUGAGCGGGCUGGCAAGGCGCAU